GAAAGUUAACCGAAUGCAAAAAAUAUCAAGAGAAAAAAGAGAAAUGUUCUAUGAUCAUUAAAACCCAAAGGAGUGAUUCCUUCAGUGCUGCCACACCAGUGGAGAUUACAGUUGCAUCUCCUUCCAUACAAGUCACUACAGCGGAGCAGAUCCUCUGGCUGUGUUUCCUGUCAUCAGGUGUCACCCCAGCUAGAUGUCUGCAAGGAAGCGAUCUGCUUCUACCUGGACAAUUUGGCUUACAGUCUGAAUCUAACUUCAGAGAUUUUAAUCAUGGUCACAAAUCAGUAUUCAAUGAAAACAGGGAUGACUGGGCAAUGGGAUGCCAACCACUCCUUUCUCCUAAGCUGAAGAGUAUGGAUGGAGGUUGGUGCUGAGAUUUUUUUUUUUAAAGCACUGUGCUUAGCUUCUUAAUUACUAUAACUUCAGUGGAAAGGCAGAAUAUUUCAAAAAUCUUGUUGACAUCAGUAGGUUUUAGUAAGACCCUAGAUAUUAGUAUGGAGCUAAUAACUACUAAGAAGGGCUAAUGCUGAUGAACUGCUGGCUGAAAAAUAAGGUAAUCAUUAAGGUAUACAAUUGUGUUUGAUUUUGCAGAUUUCAGGUUAAUUUCAUAGGGGAAAUAGGUGUAUGGGGGCAACCUUGUGAACAUGCGCUAGCACCUUCCUUCAAAAGUUUUAAGUCACACACAUGUUACACUAAAUUCUCAGUGAGCAGUGGGGACAAUCAGUGGAUUUGCUUCCAAAUUGCACAGUUACUCUGAACAAAUGCUGAAAUGGAUGCAGUGUUUGGUUCUCCCAAAUGCAGCCUAUGGUGCGUAGACCAAAGCCUGUUGGCGGAUGUAGUGUGCUUUACAUUCUGGAGACCAGACUAUAGCUGAUAAUACCUCUCUGGUUUUACUGGCUGAAGUGCAUCAAAUGUCUUUUUUAUUGGUUCAAGUUGUCUUUUCUAUUGGUUCACUGUGCUGGACAAUGAUAGAUGUUUCCAGUUAGCUGGGAGACAAUCAAGCCAACUCCUUUCCCUGUGGGUUUUAAAAUUCUAUUUACAGUAAUUCCUGAAAGCCAUAAUUGCUGGGGAUUCAUUGUGCAGACCCACAAGGUGUCUUCCCUGUACAGGGAACUUACACAACCAACACUCAGGCCAGUUUAUGCCAACAGUGAGUAAAUCCAUGGCAGAGCCCUGCCUGUGGUGUUGCUUUCUGUGCCAGCCUGUGCACAGCUGGGGACAUCCUAUGCUUGGGGGUCCCUUUCUGCCAACCAGGGGAGAACUCUUCUGUCAUUUGGACAGAAGUUAAGAAACAGAGGAUGAUUGGUACUUAAGUGAUUCUUCCCCUUUCCAUCCUGCCCGUAUUUGUGGUUGAUUUUAGCCUGUUUAAAAGCAAUGCUUGGGCACUAAACUGAACCUCCAGCACCUACAGCUGUGCAGGCUUUUAUGGGUUUAAAGAGCUUUCAGGAUUGCAUUAUCGACUUUGUCUGAGUAGUCAGAGGGUUCAAACUCAAGUGUGGUGACUGUCCACAGGUCAGUGUGAAAUGAAGACAGAUGUGGUCAUAGUCCUUGCCUCAAGGUGUUCAUACUUUGAAACUAGUAAAGGAGCAGGGUUGGGGAACUUGCACGAACCUAACACGGUGAGUCAGCAGCCUGGUUAGACUUAGACCUUGUAUUUUCUGCCUCUUGGCUCCACUAUCUUCACAUCUGCCUAUGCUGUUCUCCUGUCUCUAAAAUCAGCAGAACUAAUCUUUUAAACUGCCUUUUUAAAGCACUAAGACUACAUCCUUUUCUUACACUUCAGUAGUGAGUAUUGAUCAGGUUGUGAGUAGUGCUCAUCUGCUGUGCUUCCCUGUGAUUUUCAAUGUCUGUACUUAGGACUCAGUUACCAGUUCUGUCUCCAUCCUUGAAUAAAGCCGUUGGCAAUGGUUAGCA
Anser brachyrhynchus (Pink-footed goose) is the source of this 1914-nucleotide long non-coding RNA. The record is from Ensembl. Lineage: Eukaryota; Metazoa; Chordata; Aves; Anseriformes; Anatidae.